Molecule: ribosomal RNA, 278 nt
Filed under: uncultured bacterium
Lineage: Bacteria
Description: partial 16S ribosomal RNA
Source: RNAcentral
CUGCUGCCUUCCGUAGGAGUCUGGUCCGUGUCUCAGUACCAGUGUGGGGGGCCUUCCUCUCAGAACCCCUACGCAUCGUCGCCUCGGUGGGCCGUUACCCCGCCGACUAGCUAAUGCGCCGCAUGCCCAUCCGUGGCCGGGAUUGCUCCCUUUGGCGGCCUUGGGAUGCCCCAAGGCCGCGUUACGCGGUAUUAGACGGGGUUUCCCCCGCUUAUCCCCCUGCCACGGGCAGGUUGCAUACGUGUUACUCACCCGUGCGCCGGUCGCCGGCGGGAGUA